AACAACUACAUACGACCCCUGUUCCCGUAACCCCUGCCAAUAUGGCGGUACAUGUAUACGUACCAACAGUUACUAUUGGCCGUACACUGGCUACAGAUGUAACUGUCCUUACUACCGUACUGGGCAAAAGUGCGAGUACGGCGCCUACGGAUACCAAACAACAGAAAUCCCCAAUAUGACGACAGAAGUAUAUGUCAGAGUGCGUUUAGUUGGUGGAAACAGUUAUCGUGAAGGGCGAGUAAUGGUCUACUACGAUGGACGCUGGGGAACAAUAUGUGACCACGAUUUUGAUGAUAAUGAUGCUCGAGUUGUAUGCCGCAUGCUUGGACACGGUGACCGCUACGCCAAGGCUUAUGGCGGCGCCUGCUUUGGUGAAGGUAGCGGCAAGAUAUGGCUGAAUCAUCUGCACUGUCAAGGGACCGAAUCAUCCCUAGCUCAGUGCUAUAAGGGAUACGGCUGGGGUAACACCCACUGCUCACAUAGCGAGGACGUCGGAGUAUCUUGUGGCUUUUCAUACAGACGUUCCUGUACCAACUACAAUUACACUACGAGUUGGCCAACUACAGAAAGCACUACAA
Lingula anatina is the source of this 578-nucleotide long non-coding RNA. Lineage: Eukaryota; Metazoa; Brachiopoda; Lingulata; Lingulida; Lingulidae. The record is from RefSeq and is a predicted model, not a curated record.